RNAcentral lists this transfer RNA (70 nucleotides) under Camelus ferus (Wild Bactrian camel). It matches the Rfam family "tRNA". From Rfam's summary of the family: Transfer RNA (tRNA) molecules are approximately 80 nucleotides in length. Their secondary structure includes four short double-helical elements and three loops (D, anti-codon, and T loops). The record is from Rfam by way of RNAcentral. Lineage: Eukaryota; Metazoa; Chordata; Mammalia; Artiodactyla; Camelidae.
GCGGGUAGAGCUUGGGGUAGAGCGUGUGCUUAGCACACAUGUGUCCUGGGUUCAAUCCCCAGCACCUCCA